AUGCCUCGUCAUCCAAUUAGUGACGCGCAUGAAUGGAUUAACGAGAUUCCCACUGUCCCUAUCUACUGUCUAGCGAAACCACAGCCAAGGGAACGGGCUUGGAAAAAUCAGCGGGGAAAGAAGACCCUGUUGAGCUUGACUCUAGUUUGACUUUGUGAAGAGACAUGGGAGGUGUAGCAUAAGUGGGAGACUUCGGUUGACAGUGAAAUACCACUACUCCCAUCGUUUCUUUACUUACUCGAUGAGGCGGAGUGCGAUUCUUAUCAGAAUCACCCUACUUGCGCAAAGUGUCGGACUGUCUAUCAGGCAGUCUGCACGAUCCGAUUCGAGGACAUUGUCAGGCGGGGAGUUUGACUGGGGCGGUACAUCUGUCAAAUACUAACGCAGGUGUCCUAAGGUUGGCUCCGUCAGGACA
Molecule: ribosomal RNA, 415 nt
Filed under: Candona orbiculata
Lineage: Eukaryota; Metazoa; Arthropoda; Ostracoda; Podocopida; Candonidae
Description: LSU rRNA
Rfam family: Eukaryotic large subunit ribosomal RNA
Source: RNAcentral